RNAcentral lists this long non-coding RNA (1402 nucleotides) under Androctonus crassicauda. Lineage: Eukaryota; Metazoa; Arthropoda; Arachnida; Scorpiones; Buthidae. The record is from RNAcentral.
GCGAAAAUGUAUAAAUGGAAAACAUGCAAGUGGGAUGAUUUUACAUGCAAAAUCAAAAGAGUAUACAAAAUACAGUGUACAAGUGCUAAAAGCAUAGAAGUGAGAAACAUAUAAAUGGGAUUCUACUACGUGAUCUAUAUACAUAUAAAUCUAAUUGUUAAAUAUGUCCAUAUUACUAUAUUUUAAAAGGGCUGGAAAACGGUAUAAGUUAUGUAUGGUGCAUCUUAAAUAAAAAAGGAAAAAAUUGACACAUGAACUAUAAAAGGUUGGCCACCUCUGCCCUAGAAUCUUUGUCAUUUCUUAACAGAUUGAAUAAAAUACUUCUCCUACUAUAUGCAAAUCUUCUGCCAGAUCUCUAUUUUCUUCAUAUAUUUCAUAAAUAUGGGAUUAAUAUCAAUGAUACAGAUAAAUGCUCAUUAGUUUGGAUGUUGUCUAUAGUUUUCUUUUUAUUUCUGGUAAAGUCUUUGCAGAUGUUCUCUCAUAAGGCCAAAAUUGCAUUUUCUUUGAUAGCCAUGAGCCUCUCCUUGAUUUAAAAUCCAUGAAAACUACUAAUUAAUAGUCUGCUAAUUACUACAAUGGGUACAAAUCCUGUAUAAGAGUGCCCUAAAUGCAGCUAUUUUGUAGUCCAAAGAUUCAUUAGAUAUGUAGCUACUGCUCUUUAUUAAAAGUGUAUCUUUACAGAAGACUUGGCUGGCAUAAUUGUCAUUAAAGAUUUUAAUAUCUAAAUAAUCAAUCAUCAAAUCACUUUGUUUUUGUUUCUUUAGAAACAAGGCCAGAGAUUGAUAUGAUAUUUUCUAAAUUUUAUUGAUUUAUGAUGGUUUCUUUUAUCAUCAAAGUAUUCAUAUAUCUCCUAUAUAAGCACAUGCAUGCUUUUCACCUUGGCAAUAUGUCUGAUUCUUUUUUCCAGAUGAUAAGUUCUGCUAAACUUCUACAAAUGAGUUGCUGAUGGGCACUUCAAUCGUCUGUUUAAGGAAAUUACCAUUGAACAUAAAAUAUGGUUUAUGUAAUAGUAAAUGAGAUUUUGUAAGAAUGCUUGGAUCCAGCUCUUUAUCAGGGAGAUAUGUAGGUAGCAACUGGUACACUUUGAUGCAUGAGGUUCCAAGUUGAUAUUUGAAAAAAACAAUGCAAAGUCAUACAUUUCUAAAAUUUUAUCAAUGAGCAGCUCUACUUUUUACAAUGCAUCUAAAAGCUCCCAAGACAAUUGAAUCAACCAUUAAUAACUUUUCAUAAGAUACUUUCAACUCUUUUGGUAGCUGCAUUCCUUUUUUCUACAACUAAUUGCUUAUGUAGUUUUAUAAAAAUAAACAAACAAAGGGAAAUUUACCAUAUGAAAAGCUGUUAAUGAAAUAUAUGCAAAUUUGAAUAUAAAUGCCUAAUUAUAAAGUGAAAAUUUUAAGCGGAU